Engraulis encrasicolus (European anchovy) is the source of this 1338-nucleotide long non-coding RNA. RefSeq lists it as uncharacterized. NCBI's taxonomy places the organism in Eukaryota, Metazoa, Chordata, Actinopteri, Clupeiformes, Engraulidae. The record is from RefSeq and is a predicted model, not a curated record. The transcript is spliced from 6 exons.
UGCUGUCAGUACAUUUUAUUAUGAUACUAUAAGCUCAGAAAUGAAGUUGAUCGAACAAUUCGAUCGGUGCUAUAAACAUUUAAAUGAACCGAAUAGAAAUCAGAAUAGAAACAUCUGAAUGAUCUUUCUUGGACAUAGCCUACAUUUUGAAGUGACCCUUUGAAUUAAAAAGGUUCCUCACCCCUGCUUUUGAGGAAAAACAUCAAUGUGCUUGGCCACUCUGGUUUUUAAAUUAUUCUGAACUAAAGCAAGGAUUGUUCAAGGAAGUUCAAAACAGACUGUCUCUGGUUAAAUUAGUUCUACACCAAGCCUUUAGGUGGCAGUACAACUAAUUCGCACAAUGCGAAUUCCACACACAAGCCACAAAGAAGCCAUCUACCGCGGUCAACAACACCGACCUAUCUGAACAGAACCACGCGCUGUCUGUGUGGUUUCACUGUUACAAGUUUCUUGGCGACAUGGGGGAAAGUUCCUCACAUACCAACGGAAAAUGGGCUUCACAUACAUGCUGCUGUCUCAUAAUAUGGCGAAGACGAGUCACUUGAAGGCCUAACAGCUCUUAUGAGGAGCAGUCUUGCCAUAGAAGACUGAAAGAAUGAGCUGUAGAAACAACAGGGUGCCUGCUGCAGUAUGACGAGGACGCCCUGAUCAUAGAAGGUCCAGUGUCUUGGCAGGGUGAAAUGGCACUGAUAUCGUGUCCUGCAGGAUGCUGUGUCCUGCAAUCCUGUGUGCUGUGCUACAGACGCGUGUGGAGGUCAACCCGAAAUGGGCACAGUAGCGUGAAAGAGGAUCCUGGCAGGGAGACGGUAGUGUCCUGCAGGAUGGUGAUGGGCAAUCUUACAAGAGACCACAGAAAACUGAUAUAGUCUCCCAGAAGUGAGACUGAGUGCCUGUUGCAGUAUGACGAGGAAGCAGUGACCAGAGACCUUCAGUAGACCCUGCUGGCAUGAUUGGCGGCUGAAGAACAUAAUCAACAGCAAUGUUUAUAAUAUUGUACAUACCUGUAUAGUCUGCACUAAAAUGCUGUACCUGUACUAUUUUUCCUCUUACUUUCAUAUUUACUAUGAAUUGACAACUUUUACUCAAAUCCAUUUUUGUAUGUGCCCUGACUAAAACUAUCCUUAAACCUAACCUGUCAGAGGUGUAAUAACAACCUGCUCUUAGCAAUGUGGCAGCAGUCUACUUGGAUGCAGCGGGGAACAUAGAACCCUUUUUUUGAAAAAGCAUUGUAUGUUUCUGAGUUUUAUGAAUUGUGCCCUUCCCAAACCUAACCUGUCGUAGGGGCCUAUGAAAUCCGUUUUUUUUAAUUAUUAUUAUUUACAUUUUUGAACUUAUUUU